RNAcentral lists this long non-coding RNA (1189 nucleotides) under Junco hyemalis (dark-eyed junco). Its description in RNAcentral is "lncRNA (ENSJHYG00000014270.1)". Lineage: Eukaryota; Metazoa; Chordata; Aves; Passeriformes; Passerellidae. The record is from RNAcentral.
UUUAGGGCUUUAUUUUGGUUUAAUUAAGGGAGGAAAAGAAAAAAAAAGCACUUUGUCAUUGUUGAGCUGUUCUACAGCCAGUUUUAGUUAUGAUGAGGAAUUGCUGAUGGUGCAGGGCUGCUGUGGGCGUUGGUUCCCGUUGUUCUUCAGCUCUCAGCAGUCCCACAGCAGAGGGCUCACCUGGGAGAGCAGGCAGGGCAUCAGCUCUCUGAUGGCUUCUGUCUGUGCAGCAGCAACCCCAAAAGUGCUGUCCUUUGGGGUCUGUGACACACUCACUGCUGGGCUGGGCUGUCCUGUGGGGUGUGUGACACACUCACUGCUGUGCUGUCCUUUGGGGUGUGUGACACACUCACUGCUGUGCUGUCCUUUGGGGCAUGCAGAGCCUCUGGGUAGCCACCACGGCUGUUUGUGCCCCUUGUUCCCAGAUAAUUCACUCCUGCUGCUGGGGCCCUCCUGUGAGCCCAGAAAUGGAACUGGGAUCCACUCCCACACACCUUGGUGCCAUCAGGGUGCACUGAGUGCCAGUGUGCACCACAGCUGUGGGUCACACGUGCCAGGCCAUGCACACACACAGUCCAGGAGAUCCAGCUCUCCUUCUCUUCCACCUGGCUGGCAGCAGGGCCCCCUAACCCCGGCCAAGGUACAGCUGCUCUCUUCCUCUAAAUGUGCUCCUGAGAGCAAGAACUGCUUCUUCAUGAGAACCAGCCAUGUUAUCAUUCCUGUACCCACAGCAGUUCUGUCCACGAGAGGCUGGGGCAGCAUUGAUGAGCUUCUUGUGGUGGGUGCUCCUCUUGUCAGUUCAGCUACCCAGGCUGCUGAGGAGGAGGGGGGCUCCCAUCCCAUGUUGCUGAAAGAGAAAACAGAAAUUACCUCGUGGGAUGGGGCAAAGGUGGCUCCAUGGUGCACAGUGAGCUCAGGAGUGAGUGUGGAGGCUCAGAGCACAUCCUGAGGGCGCUUCUGCGUGUGGGGCUAAGGGGCACCAAGGGUUAAACACACUGAGUUUUAGAAAAGGAGGGAAAUGGGCCUUUCUUCACUCCACCCUGGCCUCCAGCCCCGUCCUGAGCCCAGCCCCAGUGCCCAGCCACGCUCUGAGGGUGCCAUGGGUUUGGUGGUGGGUUUCACCCCAAGGUGCUCACCCAGCUCCACGGGAGCUUGGGAACACGUUGCACCAUGCAGGGGCAAUCCUGCU